GAUGAACGCUGGCGGCGUGCCUAAUACAUGCAAGUCGAGCGAACGGACGAUAAGCUUGCUUCUCUGAUGUUAGCGGCGGACGUGUGAGUAACACGUGUAUAACGUACCUAUAAGACUGGUAUAACUUCGGGAAACCGGAUCUAAUACCGGAGGAGAUUUUGAACCGCAUGGUUCAAUAGUGAAAGACGGCCGUGCUGUCACGUAUAGAUGGAUCUGCGCUGCAUUAGCUAGUUGGUAAGGUAACGGCUUACCAAGGCAACGAGGCAUAGCCGACGUGAGAGGGUGAUCGCCGACCCUGGAACGGGACCAGGGACAUGACUCCUAAGGUAGGGCGCAGUAGGGAAUCUUCGGCAGCGGGCGAAAGCCUGACGGAGCAGCGCCGAGUGAGUUGUGGCGGCCUUCGGAUCGUAAAGAUCUGUUAUUAGGGAAGAACAUCUGUGUAAGGAAAUGUGCACAUCUUGACGGUAACUAAUAAGAAAGCAACGGCUAACUACGUG
RNAcentral lists this ribosomal RNA (497 nucleotides) under uncultured bacterium. RNAcentral describes it as "partial 16S ribosomal RNA". It matches the Rfam family "Bacterial small subunit ribosomal RNA", at positions 28 to 507 of the family's 1533-position model. The record is from RNAcentral.